AAAACAUAGAACAUGAAAGGUAUAUAAGCUAGCCAUAAAAAAGUGCCUCGAUUUGUAACCUCUUGCCACACAUUUUAUAUCAAUCCACACCAAUUAAUAUCAUUAUGCUAGCCAUUCAGAGUGCUGUUCUUAUUAAUGAAGAUAGCCAGCGAAUUGUGAAUCAUCGCAGAGAGAAUAAUGUCAGUUCAUAUAAAGUAAAAUCAUUUAUCAAGCAGCUAAAGGCAGAGAUUCUUGUCUCUUCUGACAGAGACGCAGAGCGUGAAAACGGCCAAGAUAUUUAUCACAUAGAAGAACAAGCUUAAUCUUACAAAUGAAGCUAAAACAUUGCUCAACAAUUGAAGCUGGCUGUUGAAAGCAAUGCGGAUACAGAAUCGAUGAUGGUUAGACACAAUGCGAUCAGCACUAUUUGAAGUGGGCCACAUUUUCAGCUUGUGUUACGCACUCAAUUAACGUCAGUUUGGGCCAUAAUGACAGCCACUCGGGCUUGGGCUGCGGGCCAACAGACCAGCAUCUCUAUUAUUGUGCACACUUCACGCUUGAUAUCAUUGAAGUAGACAUGUUUUGUAUUGGCCAUAUCCUUAAGCCCAGCUUCAGAAAUUCCCAUCUGAUGACGUACAGGUUGGCUAAUUAUAGAAAUUCUAUUGCCAAGCAAAUAAAUAAUUUAUUUAUAAAUCCGA
Long non-coding RNA from Drosophila mojavensis, 677 nucleotides. RefSeq lists it as uncharacterized. Lineage: Eukaryota; Metazoa; Arthropoda; Insecta; Diptera; Drosophilidae. The record is from RefSeq and is a predicted model, not a curated record. The transcript is spliced from 3 exons.